RNAcentral lists this unclassified non-coding RNA (334 nucleotides) under soil metagenome. RNAcentral describes it as "partial contains 5.8S ribosomal RNA, internal transcribed spacer 2, and large subunit ribosomal RNA". The stretch from base 1 to 119 matches the Rfam family "5.8S ribosomal RNA", at positions 35 to 154 of the family's 154-position model. The record is from RNAcentral.
GAUGAAGAACCAGCGAAAUGCGAUAAGUAAUGUGAAUUGCAGAAUUCAGUGAAUCAUCGAAUCUUUGAACGCACAUUGCGCCCGCCAGUAUUCUGGCGGGCAUGCCUGUUCGAGCGUCAUUUCAACCAUCAAGCCCCCGGCUUGUGUUGGGGACCUGCGGCUGCCGCAGGCCCUGAAAACCAGUGGCGGGCUCGCUAGUCACUCCGAGCGUAGUAAUACAUCUCGCUCAGGGCGUGCUGCGGGUUCCGGCCGUUAAAAAGCCUUAUUUACCCAAGGUUGACCUCGGAUCAGGUAGGAAGACCCGCUGAACUUAAGCAUAUCAAUAAGCGGAGGA